Molecule: ribosomal RNA, 558 nt
Filed under: Salmonella enterica subsp. enterica serovar Paratyphi B var. L(+) tartrate +
Lineage: Bacteria; Pseudomonadati; Pseudomonadota; Gammaproteobacteria; Enterobacterales; Enterobacteriaceae
Description: partial 23S ribosomal RNA
Rfam family: Bacterial large subunit ribosomal RNA
Source: RNAcentral
AGACCCGAAACCCGGUGAUCUAGCCAUGGGCAGGUUGAAGGUUGGGUAACACUAACUGGAGGACCGAACCGACUAAUGUUGAAAAAUUAGCGGAUGACCUGUGGCUGGGGGUGAAAGGCCAAUCAAACCGGGAGAUAGCUGGUUCUCCCCGAAAGCUAUUUAGGUAGCGCCUCGUGAAUUCAUCUCCGGGGGUAGAGCACUGUUUCGGCUAGGGGGCCAUCCCGGCUUACCAACCCGAUGCAAACUGCGAAUACCGGAGAAUGUUAUCACGGGAGACACACGGCGGGUGCUAACGUCCGUCGUGAAGAGGGAAACAACCCAGACCGCCAGCUAAGGUCCCAAAGUCAUGGUUAAGUGGGAAACGAUGUGGGAAGGCCCAGACAGCCAGGAUGUUGGCUUAGAAGCAGCCAUCAUUUAAAGAAAGCGUAAUAGCUCACUGGUCGAGUCGGCCUGCGCGGAAGAUGUAACGGGGCUAAACCAUGCACCGAAGCUGCGGCAGCGACGCUUAUGCGUUGUUGGGUAGGGGAGCGUUCUGUAAGCCUGUGAAGGUGUGUCGUG